RNAcentral lists this ribosomal RNA (460 nucleotides) under uncultured bacterium. RNAcentral's name for it is "bacterial SSU rRNA". It matches the Rfam family "Bacterial small subunit ribosomal RNA", at positions 29 to 506 of the family's 1533-position model. The record is from RNAcentral.
AUGAACGCUGGCGGCAUGGAUUAGGCAUGCAAGUCGAACGGUGAGGCCCCGCAAGGGGCCGAUCAGUGGCGUAAGGGUGAGGAACACGUGAGCAACCUGCCCCUGAAUUCGGGAUAGCUCCGGGAAACUGGAAUUAAUACCGGAUGUGGUUCUCCGCCGCAUGGCGGGGGGACUAAAGAUUUAUUGUUCAGGGAGGGGCUCGCGUCCGAUUAGCUUGUUGGUGAGGUGACGGCCCACCAAGGCUGUGACAGGUAGCUGGUCUGAGAGGAUGGUCAGCCACACUGGGACUGAGACACUGCCCAGACUCCUACGGGAGGCUGCAGUCGAGAAUCUUCGGCAAUGGGCGCAAGCCUGACCGAGCGAUGCCGCGUGAGGGAUGAAGGCCUUCUGGUUGUAAACCUCUGUCACCCGGGACGAACGCAAUGACGGUACCGGGAGAGGAAGUCACGGCUAACUACGU